GCCGAACAGAAACCGAACAUUUUGCUCGCAGCUGCAGCAGUUGUAGCGCUGACGAGCUCAACGCUCAACUGGCACUAUCAUUGGCGUUUUAACUGUGGACGGUUGCUACUCGCACACGCUGGCGGAUUAACGGCACAUAUAUAUUUAUAAAAAUAUAUAUAUAAUGUAUAUGCACUCAUAUAUAUAAAGAAAGUUAUGUGCAUGUCUGCGUAGAGAAGAAGAAGAAGAAGAGGAAGCUGAAAAGCAGCGUUCAAGAAAAUCCAUCUGUAUGUGUGUUGUUGUUGGUGCGCCGCUGUGGAAAAUACAACAAAUUUUCAUGUAUUUACACAAAACUAACCAAAUAAAUUUAGCGCAAAUCUUAACACAAUACUGCUACGAACAUUCAAACAAAAACCCCAUUUAAAAAUGUUGUACCAACGCAGUUGAUUAAGACAAAUAUAAAAAAAAAAA
Drosophila arizonae is the source of this 450-nucleotide long non-coding RNA. The record is from RefSeq and is a predicted model, not a curated record. NCBI's taxonomy places the organism in Eukaryota, Metazoa, Arthropoda, Insecta, Diptera, Drosophilidae.